Molecule: ribosomal RNA, 549 nt
Filed under: uncultured bacterium
Lineage: Bacteria
Description: bacterial SSU rRNA
Rfam family: Bacterial small subunit ribosomal RNA
Source: RNAcentral
UAGGGAAUCUUCGGCAAUGGGGGCAACCCUGACCGAGCAACGCCGCGUGAGUGAAGAAGGUUUUCGGAUCGUAAAGCUCUGUUGUAAGUCAAGAACGAGUGUGAGAGUGGAAAGUUCACACUGUGACGGUAGCUUACCAGAAAGGGACGGCUAACUACGUGCCAGCAGCCGCGGUAAUACGUAGGUCCCGAGCGUUGUCCGGAUUUAUUGGGCGUAAAGCGAGCGCAGGCGGUUUGAUAAGUCUGAAGUUAAAGGCUGUGGCUCAACCAUAGUUCGCUUUGGAAACUGUCAAACUUGAGUGCAGAAGGGGAGAGUGGAAUUCCAUGUGUAGCGGUGAAAUGCGUAGAUAUAUGGAGGAACACCGGUGGCGAAAGCGGCUCUCUGGUCUGUAACUGACGCUGAGGCUCGAAAGCGUGGGGAGCGAACAGGAUUAGAUACCCUGGUAGUCCACGCCGUAACGAUGAGUGCUAGGUGUUGGAUCCUUUCCGGGAUUCAGUGCCGCAGCUAACGCAUUAAGCACUCCACCUGGGGAGUACGACCGCAAGGUUG